GGCACGGUAGCUCAGCUGGUUAGAGCGCGCCUCUCAUAAGGGCGAGGCCGGGAGUUCAAGUCUCCCCCGUGCUA
RNAcentral lists this transfer RNA (74 nucleotides) under Candidatus Peribacteria bacterium. RNAcentral describes it as "tRNA-Met". It matches the Rfam family "tRNA". From Rfam's summary of the family: Transfer RNA (tRNA) molecules are approximately 80 nucleotides in length. The record is from RNAcentral. Lineage: Bacteria; Candidatus Peregrinibacteriota; Candidatus Peribacteria.